AAUAAAUACAAUUUUACAUUAUUUUAUAUCCAAUAUUUAACCGUUUUUCUUAUUUAAAAAUUUUUUAUGAUUAGUAUUUUUAUUGUUAUUUAAUUAUAAAACAUGAAUAGUAAUUAAUGUGUGAUUUUUUUUCUAUUUUUUCAUAAAUUUUUCAAAUAAGACGGAGGGUCAAACGUUGGACACGGAUACCCACGACUACAUUUAUU
Molecule: non-coding RNA, 206 nt
Organism: Oryza nivara
Lineage: Eukaryota; Viridiplantae; Streptophyta; Magnoliopsida; Poales; Poaceae
Source: Rfam